RNAcentral lists this long non-coding RNA (2518 nucleotides) under Sus scrofa (pig). Its description in RNAcentral is "lncRNA (ENSSSCG00040038929.1)". Lineage: Eukaryota; Metazoa; Chordata; Mammalia; Artiodactyla; Suidae. The record is from RNAcentral.
CACAAAUCAUUCCUAGAGAUUCGAUACUAGAUACCAAGAAACUAAAUUCAAGAUACAGGGUGAUUCAGAAGUACAAAGAUGUCUUUGAUGAUCUUUGGAUGGAUGCAUCUGAGUUAAUUUCUGAAAACAAACAACGGAUUUGUUCCCAGUUGUCCAGACUCAGUCUUCCAUACCUGUGUGUAUGGCUGGAGCUACACAUCAGCCUAUGAAAAACCAGCUUACUGAAAAGCACCUGGCACAGCUUGAAAUAAAAAGAAGUAUGCUUUGAAGCAACUCUUCACUAGUCUCUUCACCAAAAAUAUCUGAAAUUAUAUCUUGACAUCCUUCAUUUGGAUCUGCCCAAGGAUCAUGUGUUGAACUUCUACCUGCCAUGACCUAUACCAGGAGCCAGGGAAAUGAAAUGCUAAGCCCUAACAUCAGAACUCACAGUCAAUUUACAGAGGAUUUAAUGUUUAUGUGAUGGGGGUCAUGAUGAGAGCUCAGUGGAGGGACUGAAAAUGAAGAAGGAUGUCCUGGAGGGGAGGAGGCCUGAGCUGGCCUGAGCUGGUCCAAGCAGAAAAAGCAGAAACCAACCAAGUGAAGAAGAAACAAAGCAAGCACCAAAUAAAGCACAUAAACAUACACACACACACACACACACACACAGAAUAAUUAUAUUUAUUAAUCCAAAAAUCAACACACAUACACACUCACUGAAAGUAAGGAAAGGGAGCUACACAGUCAGUUCUCAUCAGUUCAGGGUGUUCUGUUCUAUAAAGUUGCUGGGAAUGCUGAAUGAACAAGACUGAACAAUUGCUUCGAGGGCAGAAGUGUUUAAGUGACUUGCCUACAGUCACUCUCCUAACAGGUGCUAGAACUGGGUUUCAAGCCCAAACCACUGGCGGAAAAUAUGAGCUUUGUGCUCUGCUCUGCCUGCCCCCUGCUGCCUGCACCCCUUGGGCAUCUCCGUACCAGAGCUGCCCUGAAAAGACAGGCUGUCAUCUUGAUCCACUUUGGGUGGGAACAUGUAAACUGGGCGACUCAGGUUUCUCCACUGUGUGUAUGUCUGAAGUUGGCCAUGAGGCCCUGCAAGCACUGAUUCUGGGGUUACAAACAAAUUUUAAUGAGUAGGUGAACUCUCAAAUCUGGAAUGCACAAAUAACAAGGAUCAAGCACAAUAUCUAUGGUAAAAGUGCACUGAAAUAAUGGAAAAUGUCAGGAAGGAACCAAAGAACAAACAACCAAGAACUAGACGAUUUCAGGACAUCAUAUGUACUAAAACAAAUGAGAAAGGUAUUAUAAAGAAUAUCAAUUAGUGUACUGAAAAGUGGAGAAGGAAAAUUAAGUGCAACGAAACCUGAUCCACAAACAAUGACAGUGUCAGCUCCUCUAGAAAAAUGAGGCAAAAGCAUAUCUGUCAUUGGCAGCUAUGAUGCUAAGUAGGUUCACAAUUUAUUGGCCAUCCAAUGAACUACACAACAUGAUGCCCUGCCUUCAUUAGUAGGUUAUUAGGAAUUGUCACAAAUAAACCUCAAAGGUUAAUUUCUUAAUGGAUAAAAAUGUUUUUUUCUUAUUAACAUGACAGUUUCAAAUCUGGCAUUGUGUCUGCUGGGUGGAUUUUCUUUUUAUUGGAAUUCAGAGACUGGCAUCCCUUCCAUCUUGCAGCUCUACCAUCCAUUACAACCUUCUGCUCCUCUCUAUGCCUCUGACUGAAGGGAAAAAGGGGUUUUAGAGGGCACACCUACUUCCUAAAAACUUUGGGAAUUUUACAUAUAUGUAAGUCAUAUAUAUAAAUAAUAUAUACAUACACACACAUACACAUAUAUAUGACUUAUUUUUCACAUUUAUUAGUAAUACCCAGAUCAUGACUACAUAUAAAUUCAAGGGAGUUGGAAAAUGAAAUCCCAGUCAGGAUAAGCACUUCCCAAUACCAGCAUGAUAAUGUGAAAAAGGAGGAAUCUGUUUUGAAUUUGACAUUAACAUAGAAAUAUUAUCUAACAUCAGACCAUAGUUGAAUGUCCUUAACAACUGGUCCAGAAUCCAACAGAAUCCAAUCCAGGAUCCUACAUGGUCAUCAUAUUCCAACCUUUAAUCUAGAGGUCAUUAUUCUGUCUCUCUGUCUUUUUUUUUUUUCCUCAAAACAGAGACAAGCAAGUGUUCUGCCUUCUAGAUGUAAACAGGAUAAUUCUGGAUGGAAAAAUAAAAACAAUAAAGAAGCAUCAGCUUCCUACAUAAUUGGAAGUUUACCAAAGUACCUCCAUUUCAUUUAGCAGCAAUUUCCAGGCAAAUGGAUUCAUUAAUACGCGCGCCAGGUAGUGAUUGGCUAAGUAUGUUGGGAAGCAAUUUGAACAUUUGGAUGCUGAAGGUCAUCAAACGUUAUCCAUAGAAUGGAGAGGAGAAGAUUAAUGUCCAUGGCUGGGAGACAAGCAAACCUGCAGAUAUGCUUGGUUACACUAUUUCAUGCUGAUUGCCUGUAAGGGAGCAGGAAAGUCAAAGAUCUCUAUCAGCUGAAAACAAGCAGCUCCAAGUAAAACAGUGA